GCCACCUAUCACUGGCAGCAAGUCCAAGAUGGUUUACAGCACAGGAGACCCCCAGCCAUCCAGACUUUAGACUUGCACUGAUGCAGAGCUGGGACCACGUGUUUGACGACUGACGACAUCAGUUCAGUGCUUCUUCUAGGCCCACCUGGAUUGCCGGCUGGCUCAGAACGGAGCAGAUAGGAGGAAAUAACAAGAUGACGGGAAAUGAGGAGCACACAACAAAGGUCAGAGGCCAAACACAAACAGAGGAAGGCACCAGCAUCUUAACCCCUAAACCACCAGGAUGUCCCAGGUCCUGAGAAUGAGCUCCUAUUGUGCAGAGAGGCGAUCCAGUUACAAAGGACUGAAAAACGAGUGUGAGAAAAACAGAGACCAACAGACUGCCAGAAGAAGAAAAAAAAAGAUUUGUUUUUAUUUCAAAGCUGCAAACAAUAUGUAACACACGAUCUCGCAGUAGUGCCCUGAUCUGGCAAAUCUUUCGGAACAUUUUUUAGCUCACAGUUUUGUUUUCUGCUUUGUAUGAAACAAUAAACAUAGUCACUGCUGGCACCGACUUUGUUGUCAUUUUGGAAAACAUAACAAUUCUGAGAUCCAAGAGUGGUGGAGGCGAUGAACUGAGGUUACAGUGUUUAGCAAUGAUAGAAUAUCAUAUUUGUUGUGCCACGAAGUCCUGAUGUAACCGAGACCUUAUUUUUCUUAAAAAGUGAUUCAUGCUGACACGUUCGGUGAUUUACAAAUUCAAAGGCCUCUGCAGUAAAGCUGUGACCACAGUGGUCAGUGCUGUACAUCUGGAGCGAGAGAUGAAGAAAGGUUUGACAUCUAAAAAUAAUAAAGAAAAAGAAACCAGCAAUGCAAAAAGUCUUGUGUUUGUCUGGUUUCAUUCCUCCACUGCAAUGAAUUGUAAUUGAUGUUUUUAACAGAUACUAAAUAUAGCUGCAAACAGCAAUGAUGGGACCAAGCAACUUAGCAGAGCUCCUGGUUGCCAUGUUAGCUCAAUAUGACAGUGAGGUCUAUCAAUUUAACAAUAAUCAAUAAAUACUCUUCUAAACAAUGUUUUUAUUACAUGAACAAAAGUCUGCUAAACAAAAUGAACACAACACUUUCCCCCUUUAUCAGGUGUUAAUGUGGAGAAUUAGAGACCCAAACUAACAAAAAACUUCAUGCGCUGCUUUCUGUCAUGAAACCUAAAAUUCAUCCAAAGUGAGAUUCUAAGAACUGAAGUUCUCAGAAGCUGAAUAUGAUGUUGUUGAAGCGACAGCAGAAGUGGGCUUCCUCUUUUCUCUCGGGGGAUUUGUGGGU
This is a long non-coding RNA of Oreochromis aureus, 1299 nucleotides long. The record is from Ensembl. NCBI's taxonomy places the organism in Eukaryota, Metazoa, Chordata, Actinopteri, Cichliformes, Cichlidae.